Molecule: ribosomal RNA, 306 nt
Filed under: uncultured bacterium
Lineage: Bacteria
Description: partial 16S ribosomal RNA
Rfam family: Bacterial small subunit ribosomal RNA
Source: RNAcentral
GACAGCAGCAGCCGCGGGAACACGAAGGGUGCAAGUGUUAAUCGGAAUUACUGGGCGUAAAGCGUGCGUAGGCGGUGAGUUAAGUCUGCUGUGAAAUCCCCGGGCUCAACCUGGGAAUGGCAGUGGAUACUGGCUCGCUUGAGUGUGUCAGAGGAUGGUGGAAUUCCCGGUGUAGCGGUGAAAUGCGUAGAGAUCGGGAGGAACAUCAGUGGCGAAGGCGGCCAUCUGGGACAACACUGACGCUGAGGCACGAAAGCGUGGGGAGCAAACAGGAUUAGAUACCCCAGUAGUCCCUGUCUCUUAUAC